UGGCCUACGGGCGGCAGCAGUGGGGAAUAUUGGACAAUGGGCGCAAGCCUGAUCCAGCAAUGCCGCGUGAGUGAGGAAGGCCUUAGGGUUGUAAAGCUCUUUCACCCGCGACGAUGAUGACGGUAGCGGGAGAAGAAGCCCCGGCUAACUUCGUGCCAGCAGCCGCGGUAAUACGAAGGGGGCGAGCGUUGUUCGGAUUUACUGGGCGUAAAGGGCGCGCAGGCGGCUCGUUUUGUCAGGCGUGAAAGCCCCGGGCUUAACCUGGGAACUGCGCUUGAUACGGGCGGGCUAGAGUGCGGGAGAGGAGAGUGGAAUUCCCAGUGUAGAGGUGAAAUUCGUAGAUAUUGGGAAGAACACCGGUGGCGAAGGCGGCUCUCUGGACCGAGACUGACGCUGAGGCGCGAAAGCGUGGGGAGCAAACAGGAUUAGAUACCCCGGUAGUC
This 443-nucleotide ribosomal RNA is filed under the name uncultured Rhodospirillaceae bacterium. RNAcentral describes it as "bacterial SSU rRNA". It matches the Rfam family "Bacterial small subunit ribosomal RNA", at positions 335 to 795 of the family's 1533-position model. Lineage: Bacteria; Pseudomonadati; Pseudomonadota; Alphaproteobacteria; Rhodospirillales; Rhodospirillaceae. The record is from RNAcentral.